This 408-nucleotide ribosomal RNA is filed under the name uncultured bacterium. RNAcentral's name for it is "partial 16S ribosomal RNA". It matches the Rfam family "Bacterial small subunit ribosomal RNA", at positions 29 to 526 of the family's 1533-position model. The record is from RNAcentral.
AGUGAACGCUGGCGGCGUGCCUAAUACAUGCAAGUCGAACGGAGUGGCGCACGGGUGAGUAAUAUAUAGCUAAUCUGCCCCUUGCUGGAGGACAACAGUUAGAAAUGACUGCUAAUACUCCAUAGCAAGGGAUGAGACUAUAUCGUAUCAGCUCGUCGGUUGGGUAACGGCCUACCGAGGCUAUGACGCGUAACUGGUCUGAGAGGAUGAUCAGGAGAAGGGGAAAGGAUACACGGUACAAAAGCCGACGGGAGGAAGCAGUAGGGAAGAUUGCGCAAUGGGGGAAGUCCUGACGAAGCAACGCAGCGGGAAGGAUGACACUUUUCGGAGCGUAAAAUCAUUUUGUUAGGAAAGCGGUACCUAAAUAAUAAGCAACGGCUAACUACGUGCCAGAAGCCGCGGUAAUAC